GAUGAACGCUGGCGGCGUGCCUAAUACAUGCAAGUCGAGCGAAUAGACGAGGAGCUUGCUCCUCUGACGUUAGCGGCGGACGGGUGAGUAACACGUGGAUAACCUACCUAUAAGACUGGGAUAACUUCGGGAAACCGGAGCUAAUACCGGAUAAUAUAUUGAACCGCAUGGUUCAAUAGUGAAAGACGGUUUUGCUGUCACUUAUAGAUGGAUCCGCGCCGCAUUAGCUAGUUGGUAAGGUAACGGCUUACCAAGGCAACGAUGCGUAGCCGACCUGAGAGGGUGAUCGGCCACACUGGAACUGAGACACGGUCCAGACUCCUACGGGAGGCAGCAGUAGGGAAUCUUCCGCAAUGGGCGAAAGCUUGACGGAGCAACGCCGCGUGAGUGAUGAAGGUCUUCGGAUCGUAAAACUCUGUUAUUAGGGAAAGAACAAAUGUGUAAGUAACUAUGCACGUCUUGACGGUACCUAAUCAGAAAGCCACGGCUAACUACGUG
RNAcentral lists this ribosomal RNA (498 nucleotides) under uncultured bacterium. Its description in RNAcentral is "partial 16S ribosomal RNA". It matches the Rfam family "Bacterial small subunit ribosomal RNA", at positions 28 to 507 of the family's 1533-position model. The record is from RNAcentral.